RNAcentral lists this transfer RNA (65 nucleotides) under Dipodomys ordii (Ord's kangaroo rat). It matches the Rfam family "tRNA". From Rfam's summary of the family: Transfer RNA (tRNA) molecules are approximately 80 nucleotides in length. Their secondary structure includes four short double-helical elements and three loops (D, anti-codon, and T loops). Lineage: Eukaryota; Metazoa; Chordata; Mammalia; Rodentia; Heteromyidae. The record is from Rfam by way of RNAcentral.
GGUGGCUCAGUGGUAGAGUGCUUGCCUUGCAUGCAUGAAGCCCUGGGUUCUAAUCCUCAGCACCA